GAUGAACGCUGGCGGCGUGCCUAAUACAUGCAAGUCGAGCGAACGGACGAGAAGCUUGCUUUUCUGAUGUUAGCGGCGGACGGGUGAGUAACACGUGGAUAACCUACCUAUAAGACUGGGAUAACUUCGGGAAACCGGGGCUAAUACCGGAUAAUAUUUUGAACCGCAUGGUUCAAAAGUGAAAGACGGUCUUGCUGUCACUUAUAGAUGGAUCCGCGCUGCAUUAGCUAGUUGGUAAGGUAACGGCUUACCAAGGCAACGAUGCAUAGCCGACCUGAGAGGGGGAUCGGCCACACGGGAACUGAGACACGGUCCAGACUCCUACGGGAGGCAGCAGUAGGGAAUCUUCCGCAAUGGGCGAAAGCCUGACGGAGCAACGCCGCGUGAGUGAUGAAGGUCUUCGGAUCGUAAAACUCUGUUAUUAGGGAAGAACAUAUGUGUAAGUAACUGUGCACAUCUUGACGGUACCUAAUCAGAAAGCCACGGCUAACUACGUG
Molecule: ribosomal RNA, 497 nt
Filed under: uncultured bacterium
Lineage: Bacteria
Description: partial 16S ribosomal RNA
Rfam family: Bacterial small subunit ribosomal RNA
Source: RNAcentral